Drosophila albomicans is the source of this 591-nucleotide long non-coding RNA. RefSeq lists it as uncharacterized. The transcript is spliced from 2 exons. The record is from RefSeq and is a predicted model, not a curated record. Lineage: Eukaryota; Metazoa; Arthropoda; Insecta; Diptera; Drosophilidae.
CAUUUAGUUGGCGCCAAGCGAACAAAAAUAUUCAAUUUAUGAACGAGCGCAUGUAUGAGUGUGUGUGUAUGGGUAUUUGAUUGUGUGUUGGCAGGACCUGGCGCUAUAUUUGGCACGCACGGGCACGGGGACAACAACACGGACAAUCCCACCGACCGUCCAUCCACUCAGCAUCUACAGCUGCUGGUUGCGUUAACACCGACGCCGACUGCGGCGUUGACGACUCACCUGCACACUAAUGGGACCAUGGGCAGCGAUUGUUUUAUCGAUGGCCGCAAAUUUUGAUUACGUUUCUCAGGCCAAACGUGAUCAAAUUUUAGUUUUAAUCCAUAACGCGGCACAGCCGUUAUUUCAUUUGAUUCACCGGUUUCCUGCCGUUUCCUCCUCCUCCGCCUGUUGCAGUUGCUCGGCGUACACAGCGCUGGCGGAGUCUGCGGUUGCAGCUGCAGUUCCGUUGGCCGUCAAUGGUGUUGUUGUUGUUAUUUCCACAGCCGACGCCAUUGUGCGUGUUAGAUUUCAAUUGUUCGAUUUGUCUUUAUAUUUGUGUGGAUGUGCGAGUGUUGGGUGAUUAAUACAAUUGCGUGCAAUUCA